This 441-nucleotide ribosomal RNA is filed under the name uncultured bacterium. RNAcentral's name for it is "partial 16S ribosomal RNA". It matches the Rfam family "Bacterial small subunit ribosomal RNA", at positions 338 to 795 of the family's 1533-position model. The record is from RNAcentral.
CCUACGGGAGGCUGCAGUGGGGAAUAUUGCACAAUGGGGGGAACCCUGAUGCAGCGACGCCGCGUGAGUGAAGAAGUAUUUCGGUAUGUAAAGCUCUAUCAGCAGGAACGAGACAAGACGGUACCUGACUAAGAAGCCCCGGCUAACUACGUGCCAGCAGCCGCGGUAAUACGUAGGGGGCAAGCGUUAUCCGGAAUCACUGGGUGUAAAGGGAGCGUAGACGGCUGAGCAAGCCUGAAGUGAAAGGCGGGGGCCCAACCCCCGGACUGCUUUGGGAACUGUACGGCUGGAGUACAGGAGAGGUAAGUGGAAUUCCUAGUGUAGCGGUGAAAUGCGUAGAUAUUAGGAGGAACACCAGUGGCGAAGGCGGCUUACUGGACUGUAACUGACGUUGAGGCUCGAAAGCGUGGGGAGCAAACAGGAUUAGAUACCCGUGUAGUC